RNAcentral lists this ribosomal RNA (253 nucleotides) under uncultured bacterium. RNAcentral describes it as "partial 16S ribosomal RNA". It matches the Rfam family "Bacterial small subunit ribosomal RNA", at positions 524 to 776 of the family's 1533-position model. The record is from RNAcentral.
UACGUAGGGGGCUAGCGUUGUCCGGAAUCAUUGGGCGUAAAGAGCGUGUAGGCGGCUCGAUAAGUCCGCUGUGAAAGUCCAGGGCUCAACCCUGGGAUGCCGGUGGAUACUGUCGGGCUAGAGUGCGGAAGAGGCGAGUGGAAUUCCUGGUGUAGCGGUGAAAUGCGCAGAUAUCAGGAGGAACACCGAUUGCGAAGGCAGCUCGCUGGGACGUAACUGACGCUGAGACGCGAAAGCGUGGGGAGCAAACAGG